AGGUUACGUUUCUGAAUUGACAAAACGGAGUGAAAAGGGCGUCAACCAGCUUCGAGAUUGAGGUUAUUUUGCAUCUGUAUUUGGAGAGGAAAGAUCCAAGAUGUCUGGCGGAGGAAGCGAUAUGACUCUUAGAAAGACUGUUGAUCAGCUGAGACGAGAAGCAAACAUUGAAAGAUGUAAAUUGUCACAAGUGGCUGCCGAACUUCUUAACUAUUGUGAGCAGAAUGUCGGUAAUGACUAUCUACUGACCGGCAUCCCCCUUCCUGGUGUGACGAACCCUUACAAGGAGAAGAAAAUUGGAUGCAGUAUCAUUUGAGGUCGUUACAGAUGCCCUUUUUUCUACACAUCGAUAUCCCACUCUAGAUGAAAAUCCUUGCAUCUUUUCUACACCUGUCCCGCUUUGCGACCCACAGUAUCGGAGAUGUACCUAGCACCCGACCUAGCAUUUUUUUUUUUCAACUCACGCUUCAUGCUGCUGCUUCAACCUUACAAUGUGCUUGUAUAUAUUUAUCACUUGUGACCGCCGAGCUUGCAAUCCAUAAUCAGUUGCAAAACAAUGUUAAAAUGCCAAACUUGUUUAGACAGAUGUGGGUGAUUCCAUCAGGUUUCAUCCAAAAUGAUAUCUAGGGACAGUGACUUUCCAUUUACUGGUAAAUAAAACGGAAAUUCCGUUUGGUUGUUCUACUUUUCAUGUAAAAAAUUCAUGAAAUUCACCCUUGCAAAAGGGAAUUCAGGUUUUUGCUGCGUACGUUUUCAGUGACAAAACAGAAUUUUCAUUUUAAGAUCAAGUUGAAACGGAAUUUAACGGAAAAUACCAGUUUUUGAAACGGAAAAUUACUGUCUGUAGAUGUCUUUUUAAUGUGGAGUAGAUCCGCAUCAACUGUUGUAUUUCACAAUGAAGAUCAAUCAAUGAAGAUCAAUUUUAAUGAGUCAAUGUGAGGUAAGCCUCCUACCAUAGUAAUUCAUGUUUGAUCGUGAAAUCUUUUCUGUAUUUCUUGUAGAUUUGGCUAGUUUACAUGAGACACAGUUUUUUCGAUUCUGGAAUGUCAAGAAAAAUGGACCCAACCCGAUGGAAUAACCCAUGUACAUUACAUUCCAAGGCUCUGGUAUAUUACAAGAUGAAAGUGACAAUCAUCCUACAUGUAUUUCUUGUAAAUUUCAGAGUUACAUGAACUGGCAUUCCUUAAUAACAGAUCUACAUGUAUUCCAUUCUUUUAUUCCUAGCUGAUUACACACAAAUAUACAACCAAAAUGUAAGUUAUACUACUGUGUAAUCUUCGGGUUACUACUGUCCAGUGUGAUUUAAUGCCUGCAUGUUCCUUAUCGUGUGAACGUGCCUCUGAUUUUGUUAAUUGAGAUUGUUUUACAUUGGUAAAGGCUCUGUCAUAUUGUUCCUGCAGCAAAGAUAUUCAUGAGCAUGUUCAAAACUUUUCUGUGUGCAAAUUUUAUACUUGUGCGCUUCUGCGGGCAACUGCGUGUGACAUACGUGCGAGAUACUGUCAAUGCAGGCUAUCUGUGAGUAGCAGAAAUAGUCACCCUUCGGUCACAUGCAAGGCCUUCAUGGAAUAAUGUGACAGUGCCUUAACAUUAGACUGUACAACUUUAACAUUACAACCAUAACAUUAGACUGUUCACUUCUGGCGACUAUUUGUAUGUUGUAAUAUGUAAGCUGGGCGGCCACAUUUAUUUAUUGACAUUCCUCUUUGUUACAUAAUUAUAUGGUUGUGUUCAAAACGGUUUGCUGUUCUUCUAUGCCCCUUUUGAGUUAUAUAGCUGAAGUUAUGAUCAAUUGCACUUUGAGAUUGAUUUGAAUCUAUUGCAACUCUUUAAGACAGGAACCCUAAGUCCUUGACCUUGCCUUGGCCAGUCAUACCUUGGAUUUAUGGUCCGAUAGGAGUCAAUUGAUUGGGAAGUUAAAUUUUAUCAAAGGAUUGGUUUUUAUAUUCCUUUUUUAAUCCCUAAAGAUCCAUAACGUGACUGGGCUGAUGAAACCUUUUAUCUCAAAAUUUAAAUAUUAUGAUGACAGCUAAGCAUAAGUUAGAUUUUAGAGGUAUAACAUGGGUAGCAACCUUUUGCCUCAAAGAAUUCUUCACAGGUAUCAGGAAACUGUUUCACAGACAGUGUGAGACUGCCACCGUUGUUAUAUUUAUUUAGAAAAAAAACAGCCAUUCCAAAGCUGCCAUAAUUUUUAUAGAUUUUGAAGUACAAGGUUUUGUCAGCACAGCCAUGAUAAUUUCAGUGUAAAAUCCAUACAAAAGACUUACCCCCCAAUUAAAGGGUGAGAACAUUUACAUUUGUAACCAAUAGCUACAUGUGCAUGUGUAUUCUAAGGCACAAGUCAGUAAUUUUUAGUGCAAUAAACCCAACUCUACUAGUUUUUUUUUUUUAAUAGACCCACUCUUGCCACAAAGGACUUCAUGACCUUUCUUAAAAAACUAAAGGUUUACAGAUAUAAGUAUUGCUUCAGAGCAGAUUAUACAUGAAAUAUACAACAGAAAAUGUGACCUUUGACCUUUACAAGUGUAUAGAUAUAAUAAGUUUCCUUGUAAUGAUCAUUUAAUUCUCAGCAGUGUUUAGAAGCUUUGCAAAUUCAGCUCUGAAUAAAUAAAUUUUAAUGUUCUUUUUUUUUAAUGUUGAUAAAUAUUUGAGUCUCCUGUGGCAUGAAAUAUAUGUAUAUUUGCACAAGAAUAAUAGGUGAAUUACUUUAUUGAAGUAAGCUUUAAUAUCACGUGUAGUAGUGUUUAGUAGUUAUGUUUUUAUGUGAUCACCUAGACCAACAUUCUUGACUCGUCACCAGCUUAGGUGGUGAUAAUUUGUGGCUUUGGGGAAGUUAUCAAACUUACAUAUUUUUAAGUGUAAAUUUUUCCUUGA
This 2871-nucleotide long non-coding RNA is filed under the name Lytechinus variegatus (green sea urchin). RNAcentral's name for it is "uncharacterized LOC121417500". The record is from RNAcentral. Lineage: Eukaryota; Metazoa; Echinodermata; Echinoidea; Temnopleuroida; Toxopneustidae.